GAUGAAGAACGCAGCGAAAUGCGAUAAGUAGUGUGAAUUGCAGAAUUCAGUGAAUCAUCGAAUCUUUGAACGCACAUUGCGCCCCCUGGCAUUCCGGGGGGCAUGCCUGUCCGAGCGUCAUUUCUGCCCUCAAGCACGGCUUGUGUGUUGGGUGUGGUCCCCCCGGGGACCUGCCCGAAAGGCAGCGGCGACGUCCGUCUGGUCCUCGAGCGUAUGGGGCUCUGUCACUCGCUCGGGAAGGACCUGCGGGGGUUGGUCACCACUAUAUUUUACCACGGUUGACCUCGGAUCAGGUAGGAGUUACCCGCUGAACUUAAGCAUAUCAAUAAGCGGAGGA
RNAcentral lists this unclassified non-coding RNA (337 nucleotides) under soil metagenome. Its description in RNAcentral is "partial contains 5.8S ribosomal RNA, internal transcribed spacer 2, and large subunit ribosomal RNA". The stretch from base 1 to 120 matches the Rfam family "5.8S ribosomal RNA", at positions 35 to 154 of the family's 154-position model. The record is from RNAcentral.